Molecule: unclassified non-coding RNA, 348 nt
Filed under: soil metagenome
Description: partial contains 5.8S ribosomal RNA, internal transcribed spacer 2, and large subunit ribosomal RNA
Rfam family: 5.8S ribosomal RNA (bases 1-120)
Source: RNAcentral
GAUGAAGUACGCAGCAAAAUGCGAUAAGUAAUGUGAAUUGCAGAAUUCAGUGAAUCAUCGAAUCUUUGAACGCACAUUGCGCCCGCUGGUAUUCCGGCGGGCAUGCCUGUUCGAGCGUCAUUUCAACCCUCAAGCCCCCGGGUUUGGUGUUGGGGAUCGGCUCUGCCCUUCUGGGCGGUGCCGCCCCCGAAAUACAUUGGCGGUCUCGCUGCAGCCUCCAUUGCGUAGUAGCUAACACCUCGCAACUGGAACGCGGCGCGGCCAUGCCGUAAAACCCCAACUUCUGAAUGUUGACCUCGGAUCAGGUAGGAAUACCCGCUGAACUUAAGCAUAUCAAUAAGCGGAGGA